GACGAACGCUGGCGGCGUGCUUAACACAUGCAAGUCGAACGGAAAGGCCCUGCUUUUGUGGGGUGCUCGAGUGGCGAACGGGUGAGUAACACGUGAGUAACCUGCCCUUGACUUUGGGAUAACUUCAGGAAACUGGGGCUAAUACCGGAUAGGAGAUCCUGCUGCAUGGUGGGGGUUGGAGAGUUUCGGCGGUUGGGGAUGGACUCGCGGCUUAUCAGCUUGUUGGUGGGGUAGUGGAUUACCAAGGGUUUGACGGCUAGCCGGCCUGAGAGGGUGACCGGCCACAUUGGGACUGAGAGACGGCCCAGACUCCAACGGGAGGCAGCAGGGGGGAAUAUUGCACAAUGGGCGGAAGCCUGAUGCAGCAACGCCGCGUGCGGGAUGACGGCCUUCGGGUUGUAAACCGCUUUCGCAUGUAACGAAGCGGGAGUGACGGUAAUGGGUAAAGAAGCACCGGCUAACUACGUG
This 468-nucleotide ribosomal RNA is filed under the name uncultured bacterium. RNAcentral's name for it is "partial 16S ribosomal RNA". It matches the Rfam family "Bacterial small subunit ribosomal RNA", at positions 28 to 507 of the family's 1533-position model. The record is from RNAcentral.